This 359-nucleotide ribosomal RNA is filed under the name uncultured bacterium. RNAcentral's name for it is "partial 16S ribosomal RNA". It matches the Rfam family "Bacterial small subunit ribosomal RNA", at positions 572 to 933 of the family's 1533-position model. The record is from RNAcentral.
UAGGUGGCCAAUUAAGUCAAAUGUGAAAUCCCCGAGCUUAACUUGGGAAUUGCAUUCGAUACUGGUUGGCUAGAGUAUGGGAGAGGAUGGUAGAAUUCCAGGUGUAGCGGUGAAAUGCGUAGAGAUCUGGAGGAAUACCGAUGGCGAAGGCAGCCAUCUGGCCUAAUACUGACACUGAGGUGCGAAAGCAUGGGGAGCAAACAGGAUUAGAUACCCUGGUAGUCCAUGCCGUAAACGAUGUCUACUAGCCGUUGGGGCCUUUGANGCUUUAGUGGCGCANCUANCGCGAUANUANACCGCCUGGGGAGUACGGUCGCAGACUAAACUCAAAUGAAUUGACNGGGGCCCCCCNCANCNGU